RNAcentral lists this ribosomal RNA (465 nucleotides) under Vreelandella stevensii. Its description in RNAcentral is "partial 16S ribosomal RNA". It matches the Rfam family "Bacterial small subunit ribosomal RNA", at positions 338 to 795 of the family's 1533-position model. The record is from RNAcentral. Lineage: Bacteria; Pseudomonadati; Pseudomonadota; Gammaproteobacteria; Oceanospirillales; Halomonadaceae.
CCUACGGGGGGCUGCAGUGGGGAAUAUUGGACAAUGGGGGGAACCCUGAUCCAGCCAUGCCGCGUGUGUGAAGAAGGCCCUCGGGUUGUAAAGCACUUUCAGUGAGGAAGAACGCCUGGUGGUUAAUACCCAUCAGGAAAGACAUCACUCACAGAAGAAGCACCGGCUAACUCCGUGCCAGCAGCCGCGGUAAUACGGAGGGUGCGAGCGUUAAUCGGAAUUACUGGGCGUAAAGCGCGCGUAGGUGGCUUGAUAAGCCGGUUGUGAAAGCCCCGGGCUCAACCUGGGAACGGCAUCCGGAACUGUCAAGCUAGAGUGCAGGAGAGGAAGGUAGAAUUCCCGGUGUAGCGGUGAAAUGCGUAGAGAUCGGGAGGAAUACCAGUGGCGAAGGCGGUCUUCUGGACUGACACUGACACUGAGGUGCGAAAGCGUGGGUAGCAAACAGGAUUAGAUACCCCGGUAGUC